GAGACAAAAUCUGGGCAAGAAGAAGAGACCAGAAGGAACUGGUCAAUGGGGAAGGGAGAAUCCAACUUUACAUUGGAUCAGGUUCAGAAGGAACUGAAACUUGGGUGGAAGAACUGAAGGAAUGCCCAGGAAUCUGUGGUUCUACCAAGUUCUUGAUGAGAUCCUGGUCCCAAUAAUUACAGAGAGUUCUCAGCCACAUUUCCCAAUCGUGAGGCUUGAGUAGAGGCUGGAGCUGGUCACCAUGCAGCAUCCAUGGACAUACAGCAGGCGGAUACUCCUGGCUCUGGCCCUCUUGUUCUUCAUGGAAUCCUUCGUCCAAGGUUUUCCUGCCAAGAGGGCGAGAUUCCAUUGGGUUCGAUGUCGCCCAGAUAGCCUUUCUGCCAACUGCAUUGAACAAAAGGGGCCAUGGUUCAACAUGCCUGAUGCUGAAGACCAAGGGUUUGCUUCUCCCCCAAUGGAUCCAUUUCUAAUGAAGCAACCCUUGAACAUGGGCGAAAAGUCUCCUUUCUCUGAGGAAGAUCCUUGGUCCAUCUCGGGUUCGGGCUCGGGUUCGGGCUCGGGUUCCGGCUUGGGCAAUGACUUCUUACCUGAAAUGGAAACACAGCCAAUAGAUGAAGAAGAUUUCUACAAUUUCAGACCUUCUGAAGAUGAGGCUGUUGGGCAAGAACUAGCAGAGGAGGAAUUGCUUAUAUAAGCAUGGAAGCUUUCCCUGACACUGAAGGCUGAACAGACAGACAUCUUCUGGGUGUUAUAGAUAAGAAACGAUUGGCUUGUGGACAGAGUGCUUUGUACAAAAUGUAACCUUUCUGGAGAAGCUUCUUCAGCCUAUCUCUUUUUUUCUCAGUAUAGAGUUUAACCAAAUGUACAUUUAUUCAUGAUUGCAAGCUCCAUCGCCUCUCGUUUUCUCACACAUAAAGCAUCUCUGAUCUCCAUGCCUUUGCACAGGCUUCCCUGUAUCCCUGAAAUAUAUUCCCUCCUCCUCUGUCCCUCUUCCUCUGGGAAUUAUCCACUUUAGGGUGCAGUUCAGAUGCUGCUGCCCCCCGUGGAGCCUUUCCUGAUUCCUCCAGUUGUUAAUUUUCGCUCUUUCUUAAAAUAAUUUUGUAUUCACUUAUCUCGAACACACACUCUAUCUCCCCCAUUAGAAUGUAAUCUAUUUGAGGGCAGGAACCGUUUUUAUUUUACUUUUUUGUUGAACCCCUCAGUGCCUUGCACAUAGAAAAAAUAAUAAAGUUUUCUUAAAUUUAAUCUAGAAUAUAGAUGUUAGAGAUCCUCAUACCCACUCCACUCUACUCCCAUGUUACAAAUGAAGAAACUGAGGCUCACAGAAGCCAAACCAGUUAUUCAACACAACAGCUAGUAAAGAGGAGAAGGAAAGGUUCCUACUGAAGAUUUUCGAGUGCAGAUCCAGUGUGUUUUCCACUGUGUCUGCUGCUAUAGGCCCUGGGUGUUUUUCUGUAUAUAAAAGAAGAUAAACCUUUAAUCCAGGAAACCACUCAGCUCCAUCAGCCUAUAGCAGGGGUGUCAAACUCAAAUGCCAUUAAAUCAUACAUAAGGAUCCCUGUGGGCUAUACAUUGACUUAGAAAACCAUAAAUUAGCCAUCUAUGUCUUAUUAUAUUUUAAUUUAUUGUGUGUGUUAAAUAUUUCCUAAUUACAUUUUGAUAUAGUUCAGGCUACAUUUGGGAGUGUUGCUGAUUACUUCCCUGGGUACGUUGAGAAGAUGGAUUCCCCCGUGCCCUCCAGCACCAGGGGCCUGUUGGCCGUAGUCAUCCUGCUAGUGCUGGCCUUGGGCAUUUAUAAGCUUUUCCUGAAAGCCCAGAAUGAGGAUCUCCCUCCGCCCUACACUGAGCAUCCCCAGGACCACCAGAGGUUCUUCCAGGCGUCCCCACCCCCGCCUCCUCCUCCCCCAGGCUUCAAGUCCUAUUUCACAGCAUCAGGCACACCCGGAUGGGGCUUUGGCAAUUCUUUCACGGGUCCCCAAGCGUUUGGCCACUCUGGCCCAGGAUUCUGGACUGGAUUGGGGACUGGUGGCCUUUUAGGCUAUUUGUUCGGGAACACGAAGGGAACAUCCCUUCGUGGUCGCCAUCUCUAACAGUUAAAAUUUAGGGGAGAUGGGGAGACUGAGGCAGGUAGAAAUUAGUUUCUCUCUGCAAGGAGUAUUAUAUUUUUUAGAGGUUUAUUAAAGGUUAAAGAUUAAAAAAUAUACAAGUAAGAAACAUGUGCCUAGGCUAGAGGCCUAGACAAAAUAACCUCACAUCAUUGAAGAGACGCCUCUGCUCCAAAACGGAAGUCCAAAAGAGCCGAGAGAGCCCCUCAAAAGCCUUUGAAUCAGCUUAAAUACCUUCUUGAUCUCGGCCCAGGUGAGAUUACAAGGCAUUCUGGGGAAGUGGAGCAAAGGUUCAUGGGGAUUGUAGUCCUGUAUUCGAGUCUAUUUUUUACACAUCUUAGGUUGUUGGCACAUUUGAUAUCCCUAGUUGAGAUCCCACUGAGUUGCCUGAAGUUCAUAAGGUUAAUUUCUUAUUUCUUUUUUAAAAAACUCUUUCUACCUUAGAAUCAAUACUAAGUAUUGGUUUCAAGGCAGAAGCAAGACUGACUUUAAAGAGGGUUUGGGGGGAAGAGCCUGGCUUCAAAAACAUUUUAAAUAUAUAUAUUUGAGAAGCAAAAUAUUGGGGAGAUGACGUUAGUUCUGAAUCCCCUCCUCCAUUUUUGGAGUUGUGAUUCCCUCAGAGAAUUAAAAUUUUCUUGAUGGGAAAAUUGAAAAAUAACACAUUUUGUGAAUUUUCUAAUGGAUAUUUGGAGUUGGUCAUAUAGCAUGGUGCAUCCAGCUACUCACGACUGUCCUUUGUUCCUAGGGCCUCAGCCAUUGUUUUCUGGGAGUCCAAAAUCCCUUUUAUCCUAAUAAGAUUCUGAACCGACAGGUUUGUGCCUUUUUCUGAAUCUAAUAUUGCUUCAUCUUCUUCUCUAGAUAUUUGUACAUGCUUCAUAUUACCUAAAUAAAGCAAAAUGACUGUAAAACCAGA
Monodelphis domestica (gray short-tailed opossum) is the source of this 3018-nucleotide non-coding RNA. NCBI's taxonomy places the organism in Eukaryota, Metazoa, Chordata, Mammalia, Didelphimorphia, Didelphidae. The record is from RefSeq and is a predicted model, not a curated record.